RNAcentral lists this ribosomal RNA (305 nucleotides) under uncultured bacterium. RNAcentral's name for it is "bacterial SSU rRNA". It matches the Rfam family "Bacterial small subunit ribosomal RNA", at positions 338 to 634 of the family's 1533-position model. The record is from RNAcentral.
CCUACGGGAGGCAGCAGUAGGGAAUCUUCCGCGAUGGACGAAAGUCUGACGGAGCAACGCCGCGUGAGUGAUGAAGGCUUUCGGGUCGUAAAACUCUGUUGUUAGGGAAGAACAAGUGCUAGUUGAAUAAGCUGGCACCUUGACGGUACCUAACCAGAAAGCCACGGCUAACUACGUGCCAGCAGCCGCGGUAAUACGUAGGUGGCAAGCGUUAUCCGGAAUUAUUGGGCGUAAAGAGCGCGCAGGUGGUUUCUUAAGUCUGAUGUUAAAGCCCACGCCUCAACCGUGGAGGGUCAUUGGACACU